CCUUCGAUAGCUCAGUUGGUAGAGCGGAGGACUGUAGUGGAGGAAAUGCGGUAAUCCUUAGGUCGCUGGUUCGAUUCCGGCUCGAAGGA
Molecule: transfer RNA, 89 nt
Filed under: Callithrix jacchus (white-tufted-ear marmoset)
Lineage: Eukaryota; Metazoa; Chordata; Mammalia; Primates; Cebidae
Rfam family: tRNA
About the family: Transfer RNA (tRNA) molecules are approximately 80 nucleotides in length.
Source: Rfam by way of RNAcentral